Molecule: ribosomal RNA, 1205 nt
Filed under: metagenome
Description: bacterial SSU rRNA
Rfam family: Bacterial small subunit ribosomal RNA
Source: RNAcentral
UGACGAAAGGACAGGCGGUAUGGGAUGGGGAUGCGUCUGAUUAGCUUGUUGGCGGGGUAACGGCCCACCAAGGCGACGAUCAGUAGGGGUUCUGAGAGGAAGGUCCCCCACAUUGGAACUGAGACACGGUCCAAACUCCUACGGGAGGCAGCAGUGAGGAAUAUUGGUCAAUGGGCGCAAGCCUGAACCAGCCAAGUAGCGUGAGGGAAGACUGCCCUACGGGUUGUAAACCUCUUUUGUUUGGGAAUAAAGUGCGGGACGCGUCCCGCAUUGCAUGUACCAUUUGAAUAAGGACCGGCUAAUUCCGUGCCAGCAGCCGCGGUAAUACGGAAGGUCCGGGCGUUAUCCGGAUUUAUUGGGUUUAAAGGGAGCGCAGGCCGUGGGUUAAGCGUGUCGUGAAAUUCCGUCGCUCAACGGCGGACGUGCGGCGCGAACUGGUCCACUUGAGUACGCGGGACGUUGGCGGAAUUCGUGGUGUAGCGGUGAAAUGCUUAGAUAUCACGAAGAACUCCGAUUGCGAAGGCAGCUGACGGUAGCGCAACUGACGCUGAGGCUCGAAAGUGCGGGUAUCGAACAGGAUUAGAUACCCUGGUAGUCCGCACGGUAAACGAUGGAUGCCCGCUAUUCGCCCACCUGGGCGAGUGGCCAAGCGAAAGCGUUAAGCAUCCCACCUGGGGAGUACGCCGGCAACGGUGAAACUCAAAGGAAUUGACGGGGGCCCGCACAAGCGGAGGAACAUGUGGUUUAAUUCGAUGAUACGCGAGGAACCUUACCCGGGCUUGAAUUGCAGAGGAAGGAUUUAGAGAUAAUGACGCCCUUCGGGGCCUCUGUGAAGGUGCUGCAUGGUUGUCGUCAGCUCGUGCCGUGAGGUGUCGGCUUAAGUGCCAUAACGAGCGCAACCCCUCUCCGUAGUUGCCAUCGGGUGAUGCCGGGCACUCUGCGGACACUGCCACCGUAAGGUGUGAGGAAGGUGGGGAUGACGUCAAAUCAGCACGGCCCUUACGUCCGGGGCUACACACGUGUUACAAUGGGGCAUACAGAGCGCCGGCGGCCGGCAACGUCCGUCCAAUCGCAAAAGUGUCCCCCAGUUCGGACUGGGGUCUGCAACCCGACCCCACGAAGCUGGAUUCGCUAGUAAUCGCGCAUCAGCCAUGGCGCGGUGAAUACGUUCCCGGGCCUUGUACACACCGCCCGUCAAGCCAUGG